GUGGCCUUAGUUCAUCGGGUAGAACCUCUGGUUGUGAUCCAGAAGGUGGCGGGUUCGAGUCCCGCAGGUCACCCCA
RNAcentral lists this transfer RNA (76 nucleotides) under Erwinia phage pEa_SNUABM_55. RNAcentral describes it as "tRNA-His". It matches the Rfam family "tRNA". Rfam says of the family: Transfer RNA (tRNA) molecules are approximately 80 nucleotides in length. Lineage: Duplodnaviria; Heunggongvirae; Uroviricota; Caudoviricetes. The record is from RNAcentral.